UUUUUGUAUAACGUUUUCCUGUUUUGUAUUGAAUGCCAAAAUACGCAAUCUUGCUUUUAUAUAUGACUCGAUAUUAUAUUGAAUUAGCAAUUUCGCGAGGCCUUAUAAUUUGAAUAUUUGAUGCACUGAGGUUUGAUGCCUAGAAAUGCCUAGUGCAAUUGGGGGGGUGGGGGGGUAUAUUUUUAAAUUUUAAUCUAUAUAGUUGAACAGGGGGGUCAUUUUUUCAUUUCCAAAAAAUAUGGGGGGGUG
Paramuricea clavata is the source of this 249-nucleotide non-coding RNA. The record is from the annotation of a GenBank genome assembly. NCBI's taxonomy places the organism in Eukaryota, Metazoa, Cnidaria, Anthozoa, Malacalcyonacea, Plexauridae.